ACUCAAAUGAAUUGACGGGGGCCCGCACAAGCAGUGGAGCAUGUGGUUUAAUUGGAUGCUACGCCAAAAACCUUACCAAGACUUGACUUCCCGGUGCAAUCCCUUAGAAAUAGGGGACCCCUUCGGGUACCGGUGACAGGUGGUGCAUGGUUGUCGUCAGCUCGUGCCGUGAGGUGUUGGAUUAAGUUCCGCAACGAGCGCAACCCUCGUCGUUAGUUGCCAUCAUUAAGUUGGGCACUCUAGCGAGACCGCCGGCGUCAAGCCGGAGGAAGGUGGGGAUGACGUCAAAUCAUCAUGCCCCUUACGUCUUGGGCUACACACGUGCUACAAUGGGCGGUACAACGGGUUGCCACUUCGCGAGAAGGAGCGAAUCCCUUAAAGCCGUCCUCAGUUCGGAUUGCAGGCUGCAACUCGCCUGCAUGAAGCUGGAAUUGCUAGUAACCGUGGAUCAGCAUGCCGCGGUGAAUACGUACCCGGGCCUUGUACACACCGCCCGU
This 497-nucleotide ribosomal RNA is filed under the name uncultured bacterium. RNAcentral describes it as "partial 16S ribosomal RNA". It matches the Rfam family "Bacterial small subunit ribosomal RNA", at positions 899 to 1397 of the family's 1533-position model. The record is from RNAcentral.